This 497-nucleotide ribosomal RNA is filed under the name uncultured bacterium. Its description in RNAcentral is "partial 16S ribosomal RNA". It matches the Rfam family "Bacterial small subunit ribosomal RNA", at positions 28 to 507 of the family's 1533-position model. The record is from RNAcentral.
GAUGAACGCUGGCGGCGUGCCUAAUACAUGCAAGUCGAGCGAACAGACUAGGUGCUUGCUCCUCUGACGUUAGCGGCGGACGGGUGAGUAACACGUGGAUAACCUACCUAUAAGACUGGGAUAACUUCGGGAAACUAGAGCUCAUUCCGGUUAAUAUAUUCAACCUCAUGGUUCAAUAGUUAAAGUCGGUUUUGCUGUCACUUAUAGAUGUUUCCGGGACGCUUUAGCUAGUUGGUAAGGUAACGGCUUACCAAGGCAACGAUGCGUAGCCGACCUGAGAGGGUGAGCGGCCACCCUGGAACUGAGACACGGCACAGACUACUACGGGAGGGAGCAGUAGGGAGUGUUACGCAGUGGGCGGGAUCAGGACGGAGCCAAGCCACGUGAGUGAUAAGGGUCUUGGGAUAGUAAAACUCUGUUAUUAGGGAAGAACGAAUGUGUAAGUAACUAUGCACGUCUUGACGGUACCAUAUCAGAAAGCAACGGCUAACUACGUG